This 620-nucleotide unclassified non-coding RNA is filed under the name Hevea brasiliensis (rubber tree). The record is from RNAcentral. Lineage: Eukaryota; Viridiplantae; Streptophyta; Magnoliopsida; Malpighiales; Euphorbiaceae.
GAGACAUCGAGAGCGAGAUCGCCAUGGCCGCCGCCGCCGCCAAGAACGGCCGCAUUGCCGUCGCCGCGCUCCUCCUGGCGGCGCUGGCCCUGUCCGCGCAGCUCGCGCCGGCCGCGGCGUGCUCCUACUGCCCGACGCCGAAGCCGCCUCCGCCGCCGCCGCCGGCGCCGUCCGGCGUCCCGUGCCCGCCGCCGCCGUACACCCCCACCCCGGCGACGCCGACGGGGAAGUGCCCGGUGAACACGCUGAAGCUGCUGGCGUGCGUGGACGCGCUGAACGGGCUGGUGCACGCGGUGGUCGGCGCCAAGGCCAGCGACACCUGCUGCCCGCUGCUGUCCGGCGUCGCCGACCUCGACGCCGCGCUCUGCCUCUGCACCGCCAUCAAGGCCAAGGCGCUCGGCGUCAGCCUCGUCCUCCCCGUUGCCAUCUCCGUGCUCGUCAACGAGUGCGGCAAGCACGUCCCCUCCAGCUUCCAGUGCCCAUCAUAAAUCACCUCAAUUAUGUAUGAUCACUAAUUAAUUAAUAAUCACCUACUGCAUCUGAUCUCUGCAUGCAUGCAUGGAUUAAUUAAUUAAGCUAUCAAAUUACAUAUUACCUGCAUAAUUAAUAAGUAUAGUUUA